This 124-nucleotide ribosomal RNA is filed under the name uncultured bacterium. Its description in RNAcentral is "partial 16S ribosomal RNA". The record is from RNAcentral.
CCGGGGUUUCUUCUGCUGCUACCGUCAUUAUCUUCACAGCUGAAAGAGCUUUACGACCCUAGGGCCUUCGUCACUCACGCGGCAUGGCUAGAUCAGGGUUUCCCCCAUUGUCUAAGAUUCCCCA